RNAcentral lists this transfer RNA (67 nucleotides) under Marmota monax (woodchuck). It matches the Rfam family "tRNA". From Rfam's summary of the family: Transfer RNA (tRNA) molecules are approximately 80 nucleotides in length. Their secondary structure includes four short double-helical elements and three loops (D, anti-codon, and T loops). The record is from Rfam by way of RNAcentral. Lineage: Eukaryota; Metazoa; Chordata; Mammalia; Rodentia; Sciuridae.
GAGUGUAGCUCAGUGGUAGAGCACUUGCUUAACAUGUGGGAAAGCCUGGGUUCAAGCCCCAGGCUCA